RNAcentral lists this ribosomal RNA (548 nucleotides) under uncultured prokaryote. Its description in RNAcentral is "bacterial SSU rRNA". It matches the Rfam family "Bacterial small subunit ribosomal RNA", at positions 355 to 896 of the family's 1533-position model. The record is from RNAcentral.
UGGGGAAUUUUGGACAAUGGGCGCAAGCCUGAUCCAGCAAUGCCGCGUGCAGGAUGAAGGCCUUCGGGUUGUAAACUGCUUUUGUACGGAACGAAACGGUCCCUUCUAAUACAAGAGGCUAAUGACGGUACCGUAAGAAUAAGCACCGGCUAACUACGUGCCAGCAGCCGCGGUAAUACGUAGGGUGCGAGCGUUAAUCGGAAUUACUGGGCGUAAAGCGUGCGCAGGCGGUUAUAUAAGACAGAUGUGAAAUCCCCGGGCUCAACCUGGGACCUGCAUAUGUGACUGUAUAGCUAGAGUACGGUAGAGGGGGAUGGAAUUCCGCGUGUAGCAGUGAAAUGCGUAGAUAUGCGGAGGAACACCGAUGGCGAAGGCAAUCCCCUGGACCUGUACUGACGCUCAUGCACGAAAGCGUGGGGAGCAAACAGGAUUAGAUACCCUGGUAGUCCACGCCCUAAACGAUGUCAACUGGUUGUUGGGUCUUCACUGACUCAGUAACGAAGCUAACGCGUGAAGUUGACCGCCUGGGGAGUACGGCCGCAAGGUUG